GUCCGACUCUGUUGCCUCCGGGGCGACCCUGCCUUCGGGCGGGGGCUCCGGGUGGACACUUCAAACUCUUGCGUAACUUUGCAGUCUGAGUAAACUUAAUUAAUAAAUUAAAACUUUUAACAACGGAUCUCUUGGUUCUGGCAUCGAUGAAGAACGCAGCGAAAUGCGAUAAGUAAUGUGAAUUGCAGAAUUCAGUGAAUCAUCGAAUCUUUGAACGCACAUUGCGCCCCCUGGUAUUCCGGGGGGCAUGCCUGUUCGAGCGUCAUUUCACCACUCAAGCCUCGCUUGGUAUUGGGCAACGCGGUCCGCCGCGUGCCUCAAAUCGACCGGCUGGGUCUUCUGUCCCCUAAGCGUUGUGGAAACUAUUCGCUAAAGGGUGUUCGGGAGGCUACGCCGUAAAACAACCCCAUUUCUAAGGUUGACCUCGGAUCAGGUAGGGAUACCCGCUGAACUUAAGC
Molecule: ribosomal RNA, 458 nt
Filed under: Cladosporium uredinicola
Lineage: Eukaryota; Fungi; Ascomycota; Dothideomycetes; Cladosporiales; Cladosporiaceae
Description: eukaryotic LSU rRNA
Rfam family: 5.8S ribosomal RNA (bases 112-265)
Source: RNAcentral